Hyla sarda is the source of this 346-nucleotide long non-coding RNA. RefSeq lists it as uncharacterized. NCBI's taxonomy places the organism in Eukaryota, Metazoa, Chordata, Amphibia, Anura, Hylidae. The transcript has 3 exons. The record is from RefSeq and is a predicted model, not a curated record.
AGGAGGUGAACAAGCCUCACUUCCUUCCUCACUGCCAGGACCGCCCCCGCUGCUGCCACCGCUCCUGCCCGCCACUGCAGUUCCUGAGGGGACCCCCGCCAAGCCAGGCAAAGAUCAAGGAACACAACCCCUGGAGAGGACAUGUUUACUUACUGUCAACUCAACUGGCAGCCAGCCAAAAGCUUAACAUGGGCUCUUAAAACACAGUAAGGAGACGGAGUACUGCAACUGCUUGUGGGAGGAUGGCCUUGGUAUCCAUGAAGUGGCAAAGGCAACCCACCAAUGACAGGAGGAAAUAAGAAGGGAUAGUGGGUGGCUGGAUAGUGAUUCAUAUGUCCGUUUACAG